AGGAUUAGAUACCCUAGUAUAAUUAUAAUUUAUGGGAAGAGUAUAAGAUGAAAAUUAAAAUUUUUGGCGGUAAGUUAUUGGUUAGAGGAGUUUGCUUGUUGUAGAAAAUACUCUUUAUAUUUUAAAAUUUUGUGUUUAUUUAUUUCCGUAUAGAUGAAAAUUAUGUGAGUUUAUUCUUAAAUUUCAGGUCAAGAUGUAGCUAAAAAUUAAUUUGUUUAACUACAAUUAUGGAAUAAUGGAUUUUUAAUUGAAAAAAGGAUGAAAUUGAAUUUAAUCGUAAUAUUAUUUAGAAGGAUAAUAUGAAAUUAAGUAAUUUAUGUAUAUAUUGCCCGUCACUUCUUUUAGUACAGAGAAUAAGUCGUAACAAAGUAAAUUU
Molecule: ribosomal RNA, 376 nt
Filed under: Cynorta valida
Lineage: Eukaryota; Metazoa; Arthropoda; Arachnida; Opiliones; Cosmetidae
Description: partial small subunit ribosomal RNA
Source: RNAcentral